Long non-coding RNA from Zalophus californianus (California sea lion), 320 nucleotides. RefSeq lists it as uncharacterized. The transcript has 3 exons. The record is from RefSeq and is a predicted model, not a curated record. NCBI's taxonomy places the organism in Eukaryota, Metazoa, Chordata, Mammalia, Carnivora, Otariidae.
GUCAGCCCUGUGAGUGGGAGGGGCUAUCACUCCCAUGCUUAGUUAUUCGUCAGCUGACUCUGAGCUAACCAAAAUGAAGAUUAUUCUGGUGGUCCUGACCUCAUCAGGCUAAGAAAACAAAACACUGAUGGAUCUGUGGCUUGAAGCUUAUAAUCAAGUCAGCUUGCUGAUGGACUCUUUCCGACCCAGUACCUUAGAACAGAAUAUUUCAUGGGUUGUGUUGCUCUACCUUAAAGACCUGCUUUCUCUCUGGCGAAUGACCCCCUGGCUAAGAAGAGCUGUUAGGUCUGGACUUCUUCCUUCUCUCCGUGCCCCCUGUU